Molecule: long non-coding RNA, 801 nt
Organism: Acanthopagrus latus (yellowfin seabream)
Lineage: Eukaryota; Metazoa; Chordata; Actinopteri; Spariformes; Sparidae
Exons: 3
Source: RefSeq, a predicted model, not a curated record
UAUAUUUUCUGAGGUGUCCUGAGUCCUCUCUGCUGUGAGGUAAUAAUGACUUCAAACAUCCCAGCUGGAGAGCAAUCAGACACAAGUGUUUCACAUUAGACAAAAUUAGAUCAAAAAGAUCCAAAUCCAACCUUCAGAGUGAUGUUAUGUCUGGUCAAGUGACCCAGAUUCCCCCAGAAGCCCCCCGGCAGCAGCGGACCCGCUACCUGCUUCCUGGUCUGCAGCUUAACACGAGGUCACGAGAUAGACGGCCUGCAGGAGAAAUGCUGCACAUGUGAAAGUUCUUUGCUCUGCUGAUCUCUCAGCUGUGACAAAUCAGCAUCAGCAAGCAAAGAUUGGACCUCACUCCAACAAGUGACCGGUCUGGCCGGCGGCUGUGCGUGCAGGGAUUGAGCCAUUUUCAUCCCAGGAAUCGUCUCCCCACAUGCAAAAAAAAGUUUCCAGAGAGUGCUUCAUGUCUGACUAGGUGGGAACACUUUGCAACUGCCUAAAGUUUUUUUUUUUUUCUUUUCCCCUCCUGGAAGUCACCGAGAACAGGAUGCGCUCUUCACGGGAGCCAAGGGGAGCUUGGCUUGCUUGCCUGAGCUCCCCUGAAAAACAUCAUUUGUGAAAUUUUGUGUGGUCACUAAAAUAUUUUAUUAUUUUUGCUGUGCAUUUCUUUUAUUCUGUAUCUUCACCAUCAUGGAUCAUGUGUAAAAUUAGGCAUUUUAUUUUUGUGUGACUGGGUGAUGAUGAUGAUGAUGAUGAUCCCCCACAAAAAAGGGUAAUAAACAAUCAUAAAGCCUCCAAAAACUUCCUUAA